Molecule: ribosomal RNA, 251 nt
Filed under: uncultured prokaryote
Description: partial 16S rRNA
Rfam family: Bacterial small subunit ribosomal RNA
Source: RNAcentral
ACGUAGGGUGCGAGCGUUAAUCGGAAUUACUGGGCGUAAAGCGUGCGCAGGCGGUUUUGUAAGACAGAGGUGAAAUCCCCGGGCUCAAACUGGGAACUGCCUUUGUGACUGCAAGGCUGGAGUGCGGCAGAGGGGGAUGGAAUUCCGCGUGUAGCAGUGAAAUGCGUAGAUAUGCGGAGGAACAACGAGGGCGAAGGCAAGAACCUGGGCCUGCACUGACGCUCAUGCACGAAAGCGUGGGGAGCAAACAG